GGGGGUGUACCGGUUUCGACGGGGGCAGUGAGGCAGGAAUAGCGGGCUGUGGCACCUGACCACAAUAAAACGGGUAACUUUUUACAAUUAACUGACAACAAUAAGUUAGCACUGGCAGCCUAAUCAGGCAGCCCAUCCGCCCCGGACGGUCCACGAGCCGGGCUCGGGUGUGAUUUAAGUGGAGCCCGUGCGCACGGUAAGCUUUGCCCGUGCCAUGCAUCAUGAAGCUACUGAAUCCGUGAGGGUGUCUGUUCCCGCGCGGAUGAGGGAAUGUAAAUAACCGACUGCGCCCGGAGAGGUUCCUGUCAAGCUGUUUUCGGACGGGGGUUCAACUCCCCCCACCUCCACCA
This 350-nucleotide transfer-messenger RNA is filed under the name Oscillospiraceae. RNAcentral describes it as "Faecousia sp900762005 Standard tmRNA". It matches the Rfam family "transfer-messenger RNA". Rfam says of the family: Bacterial tmRNA, also known as 10Sa RNA or SsrA, is named for its dual tRNA and mRNA-like properties. Its role is to liberate the mRNA from a stalled ribosome. RNAcentral also lists the same sequence under 1 other name. The record is from RNAcentral. Lineage: Bacteria; Bacillati; Bacillota; Clostridia; Eubacteriales.